UAACCUCGGGAAAUCGUGGCUAAUACCGGAUACGAGCACUCAUCGCAUGGUGGGUGCUGGAAAGAUUUAUCGGUGGGGGAUGGACUCGCGGCCUAUCAGUUUGUUGGUGAGGUGAUGGCUCACCAAGACGAUGACGGGUAGCCGGCCUGAGAGGGCGACCGGCCACACUGGGACUGAGACACGGCCCAGACUCCUACGGGAGGCAGCAGUGGGGAAUAUUGCACAAUGGGCGAAAGCCUGAUGCAGCGACGCCGCGUGGGGGAUGACGGCCUUCGGGUUGUAAACCCCUUUCAGUAGGGAAGAAGCGAGAGUGACGGUACCUGCAGAAGAAGCGCCGGCUAACUACGUGCCAGCAGCCGCGGUAAUACGUAGGGCGCAAGCGUUGUCCGGAAUUAUUGGGCGUAAAGAGCUUGUAGGUGGCUUGUCGCGUCUGCCGUGAAAACCCGAGGCUCAACCUCGGGCGUGCGGUGGGUACGGGCAGGCUAGAGUGUGGUAGGGGGAGACUGGAACUCCUGGUGUAGCGGUGAAAUGCGCAGAUAUCAAGAAGAAC
This 550-nucleotide ribosomal RNA is filed under the name Brachybacterium sp. JP1S_3. RNAcentral describes it as "bacterial SSU rRNA". It matches the Rfam family "Bacterial small subunit ribosomal RNA", at positions 144 to 707 of the family's 1533-position model. The record is from RNAcentral. Lineage: Bacteria; Bacillati; Actinomycetota; Actinomycetes; Micrococcales; Dermabacteraceae.